GAUGAACGCUAGCGGCAGGCUUAACACAUGCAAGUCGAGGGGUAGGAGAAGCUUGCUUUUCUGAGACCGGCGCACGGGUGCGUAACGCGUAUGCAAUCUACCUUUCACAGAGGGAUAGCCCAGAGAAAUUUGGAUUAAUACCUCAUAGUAUAAUUGAAUGGCAUCAUUUAAUUAUUAAAGAUUUAUCGGUGAAAGAUGAGCAUGCGUCCCAUUAGCUAGUUGGUAUGGUAACGGCAUACCAAGGCAACGAUGGGUAGGGGUCCUGAGAGGGAGAUCCCCCACACUGGUACUGAGACACGGACCAGACUCCUACGGGAGGCAGCAGUGAGGAAUAUUGGACAAUGGGCGCAAGCCUGAUCCAGCCAUGCCGCGUGCAGGAUGACGGCCCUAUGGAUUGUAAACUGCUUUUAUACAGGAAGAAACACUCCCUCGUGAGGGAGCUUGACGGUACUGUAAGAAUAAGGAUCGGCUAACUCCGUGCCAGCAGCCGCGGUAAUACGGAGGAUCCAAGCGUUAUCCGGAAUCAUUGGGUUUAAAGGGUCCGUAGGCGGUCAGGUAAGUCAGUGGUGAAAGCCCAUCGCUCAACGGUGGAACGGCCAUUGAUACUGUCUGACUUGAAUUAUUAGGAAGUAACUAGAAUAUGUAGUGUAGCGGUGAAAUGCUUAGAGAUUACAUGGAAUACCAAUUGCGAAGGCAGGUUACUACUAAUUGAUUGACGCUGAUGGACGAAAGCGUGGGUAGCGAACAGGAUUAGAUACCCUGGUAGUCCACGCCGUAAACGAUGGAUACUAGCUGUUGGGAGCAAUCUCAGUGGCUAAGCGAAAGUGAUAAGUAUCCCACCUGGGGAGUACGAACGCAAGUUUGAAACUCAAAGGAAUUGACGGGGGCCCGCACAAGCGGUGGAGCAUGUGGUUUAAUUCGAUGAUACGCGAGGAACCUUACCAAGGCUUAAAUGUAGAUUGACCGUUUGGAAACAGAACUU
Molecule: ribosomal RNA, 982 nt
Filed under: uncultured bacterium
Lineage: Bacteria
Description: bacterial SSU rRNA
Rfam family: Bacterial small subunit ribosomal RNA
Source: RNAcentral